GAUGAACGCUGGCGGCGUGCUUAACACAUGCAAGUCGAACGGAAAGGCUCCUGCUUGCAGGGGUACUCGAGUGGCGAACGGGUGAGUAACACGUGGGUGAUCUGCCCUGCACUUCGGGAUAAGCCUGGGAAACUGGGUCUAAUACCGGAUAGGACCACAUUUUGGAUGGUGUGGUGGAAAGUUUUUCGGUGUGGGAUGAGCUCGCGGCCUCUCAGCUUGUUUGUGGGGUAAUGGCCUACCAAGGCGUCGUCGGGUAGCCGGCCUGGGAGGGUGUACGGCGACAUUGGGACUGGGAAACGGCCCAGACUCCUACGGGGGGCAGCAGUGGGGAAUAUUGCACAAUGGGCGCAAGCCUGAUGCGGCGACGCCGCGUGGGGGAUGACGGCCUUCGGGUUGUAAACUCCUUUCGCUAGGGACGAAGCGUUUUUGUGACGGUACCUGGAGAAGAAGCACCGGCUAACUACGUG
This 467-nucleotide ribosomal RNA is filed under the name uncultured bacterium. RNAcentral describes it as "partial 16S ribosomal RNA". It matches the Rfam family "Bacterial small subunit ribosomal RNA", at positions 28 to 507 of the family's 1533-position model. The record is from RNAcentral.